CAGUGCAUGGCCAAAUGAGAAAAGCAUCUCCCUUACACCGAGAAGUUGUCCGUGCAAGUCGGACUGCUCUGC
RNAcentral lists this transfer RNA (72 nucleotides) under Phycis blennoides. Its description in RNAcentral is "tRNA-Val". It matches the Rfam family "tRNA". Rfam says of the family: Transfer RNA (tRNA) molecules are approximately 80 nucleotides in length. Their secondary structure includes four short double-helical elements and three loops (D, anti-codon, and T loops). Further hydrogen bonds mediate the characteristic L-shaped molecular structure. tRNAs have two regions of fundamental functional importance: the anti-codon, which is responsible for specific mRNA codon recognition, and the 3' end, to which the tRNAs corresponding amino acid is attached (by aminoacyl-tRNA synthetases). tRNAs cope with the degeneracy of the genetic code in two manners: having more than one tRNA (with a specific anti-codon) for a particular amino acid; and 'wobble' base-pairing, i.e. permitting non-standard base-pairing at the 3rd anti-codon position. The record is from RNAcentral. RNAcentral also lists the same sequence under 3 other names. Lineage: Eukaryota; Metazoa; Chordata; Actinopteri; Gadiformes; Phycidae.